Molecule: long non-coding RNA, 1067 nt
Organism: Mauremys reevesii (Reeves's turtle)
Lineage: Eukaryota; Metazoa; Chordata; Testudines; Geoemydidae
Exons: 4
Source: RefSeq, a predicted model, not a curated record
GGGAGUGGUUAGGCUCUCCCAGGGCGGAAGGGAGAAUCCCGCCAGAGAGGAAUAGCUGUUGCCGGUUAUGUUAAUCUGUAGGGCGAGCACCUCUUCCUCUGGGUGCUACCGUUUGAUACUGUGGGUGGGUGAAUCCCAAGAAGUUCACAGUGAACUCAACUCUCAACCUGCAUCACAACAUCCGUGGUGCAGGGAUUGGACACUAGUGCUCCUGAACUCCAUCACCUGAGUAGCUGCUGCACUCUUUGGCUUGAAGUGGGUUGAGUCAUAUACAGGGUUUACAGGUUGACAUGGUUUCUAUCAUACACAGGGUUUACAGUUUGGUUCAAUGGCUCUCAGGACCCCCACUGUACACAUUGUUCCAGCACCCUUGGUCUCGCACCACACAAAGUGGCAGGGGGAGGAGGAUCAUCCUUAUAACUUUUAUCUCAGUGAUUAGGGUACUCACAUGUGAUGUGGGAAACCCUCAGUUCAGAUCCCGCUGAUGAGAAUGGAUCUCCCUCCUCUCAGGUCGGUGGCAGAGUCAGGAACUGAACCUGGAUCUGAGUCACAGUCUAAAGCCUUAACUGCAAAACCAUCAUUCUUCUCUUGAGGCCAUUGAUUAUUUAUUACUGUUGAUACAACAUGGACAGAAUAGGGCAAUUAAGGCAAAAGGAGGUGAAAUGGCUUGACCAUGGUCACCCAACAAACCAGUGGCAGAGGUGUUCUGAAGCCCAGCCCCAUGUGCUAGCCACGCUGCCUCCCGUGUCACACUUUGAGGGAGAUUCAAAUUUGCCUCACUGGCUGGGUCAUCAAGUGACUCUACAUUGCCAGCAGUGUGGAAAAAAAUUUGGAGGAUGACUAUUACGUUUGAUCCCCUUCACCUAUCUGUGUGAACAAGCUGGGGUGAAAAAGUAAAUAUACCGCCCAUGGCAACUGGGAUUGCUGGACUAAAUCAGUUAACUCCCCCCAUCCCUCCCAGGAAGGCUGUAUCCAAAUACAAAAGUUAUUGACAUAAAAAUAUAAGCCUGUUUCCUCAGAUAUGACAACUCCAGUGCAAGCAAGAGUUAGGUGAUGUGGUGAUAACA